This is a long non-coding RNA of Eriocheir sinensis (Chinese mitten crab), 679 nucleotides long. RefSeq lists it as uncharacterized. The record is from RefSeq and is a predicted model, not a curated record. The transcript has 4 exons. Lineage: Eukaryota; Metazoa; Arthropoda; Malacostraca; Decapoda; Varunidae.
ACAACGGCCCUUUCCCUCACACACAUACAGUCUUGUUUCCAUGUGUACAGUAUGAUAUAUAGUGUCCCUGUCUUUCCUUACAACAUGGUGGACAGCACACAGUUAUUGCCUACACUACUAAACAUUUCAACGUCACUUAUUUUGUUCGGCAGGCUCAAACUCCAUCCUGGAGCUCCAGAAGAGGCCCUCUGGACUGGGGCCCAAGCAGCGGUGGACUCUCAACAACAACAACAACAACUCCGUCAAGUAACCCAAGAGAGGAGGAAGAGAAUGGACAAUUUACAACAAUAUGCACAGACAAGAAGAAGAAGAAGAAGAAGAAGAAGAAGAGUAAGAAGAUGAGGAGGAGGAAGAGAAUGGAAGAGAAGGACCAGCACACUAUUGAGACAAGAGAAGGAAGAGGAAGAAAAAGAAGAUGAUGAAGAGGAAGAGGAGGAUGACUUUGAAGACCAGCAGACAGGCAGACAGACAGACAGACAUUGACACUACCAAACGAAGAAGAGGAGGAGGAGGAGGAGGAGGAGGAGGAAGAAGAAGAAGAAGAAGAAGAAGAGGAACACAGGAGGAGCCCAUUGGUGAGUGUUAAUUUAUUUUUUCUAAAAUGGUUAACGAGCAGUCAAGGAAUUUUGAUAAUAAGGAGGGAAAGUGUGAUGCUUUUUUGUAGUUUUGUUAAGUUGUU